Molecule: ribosomal RNA, 195 nt
Filed under: uncultured Streptococcus sp.
Lineage: Bacteria; Bacillati; Bacillota; Bacilli; Lactobacillales; Streptococcaceae
Description: partial 16S ribosomal RNA
Rfam family: Bacterial small subunit ribosomal RNA
Source: RNAcentral
UCAUCAUGCCCCUUAUGACCUGGGCCACGACACGUGCUACAAUGGUUGGUACAACGAGUUGCGAGUCGGUGACGGCGGAGCUAAUCUCUUAAAGCCAAUCUCAGUUCGGAUUGUAGGCUGCAACUCGCCUACAUGAAGUCGGAAUCGCUAGUAAUCGCGGAUCAGCACGCCGCGGUGAAUACGUUCCCGGGCCUU